RNAcentral lists this ribosomal RNA (274 nucleotides) under uncultured bacterium. Its description in RNAcentral is "partial 16S ribosomal RNA". It matches the Rfam family "Bacterial small subunit ribosomal RNA", at positions 85 to 354 of the family's 1533-position model. The record is from RNAcentral.
CCGCCGGCGACCGGCGCAACGGGUGAGUAACACGUAUGCAACCUGGCCGUGACAGAUGGAUAACCGGGAGAAAUCCCGCCUAAUACAACAUAAUGCCGGGAGGGGACAUCCCCUGCCGGCCAAAGGGGGCGACCCCGGUCACGGAUGGGCAUGCGGCGCAUUAGGUAGUUGGUGGGGCAACGGCCCACCAAGCCGACGAUGCGUAGGGGUUCUGAGAGGAAGGUCCCCCACAUUGGAACUGAGACACGGUCCAAACUCCUACGGGAGGCAGCAG